AUGCACAGCUCCUCCCCCUCCUCCUCCGCCGUCGCGUAUUCUUCCUCGUCUCCAUCACACCUCUCCCCAGCAGACGGCUUCCUCUGCGUGAAGGAGGGGGUCGACGAGAUGAUCAAGCACGUCGCCAAUGAGCCCUCCCUCGGGCUCUACUUCGUCCAGCAGCACGCUCAGGCAUCCAUGCCCAUCCUCCUUGACGUCAAGGGCAAGGUUACAGAAAAGACUCGUGAGAUAACAUUACACACUGAAGAUAUAGAGGAUUCUAUUUGUGCUGUGAGGUCCAUGGCUGAGUUUGGACUUCCAAUUGCUGAUGAUAUGAUAAAGGACAUAAAUAAAUCUCUAAAGAUAAUGUCGAAGACCCAACCAAAGAAAGGGUUAAUCCAGAACCCCAUUUGGGGGUUCCAAUCAGACAAAAGCUCGGAAGCAUGGAACGAUUUGGACGCAACUAAUGGUGGAAGUAGCAAGAACUAUUUGUCUUCCAUGUUGAACACCGCAAAGCAAAAGGCAUCGAGUCUCAGAUGGCCACAGACUGAUUUCGCUAUGAACGAUGGCGUUAGUGAGAAGUCAGUGUCAUCUACAGCUCAGGAGUCGUCACAAGCCGGAGGACAUGGUGCGUCAACACCCUCGGAUGCAGAAAGGGACGAAGUCUCCAUUUCAAGCCGAUUGUUGGAAAAUAAAAAUGCAGGUACUAUGAACCAGGGCCUGUCUGCUUCUGAUAUCUCCCACACGGCGGAGAGCUACAACAAGUUCAAAGAAGAACAGGAACUGAAACUGCAAGAGUGGCUCAGGGAGUCGAAAGAAGCUGACGAUAAUAGAGGUUGA
RNAcentral lists this ribosomal RNA (819 nucleotides) under Triticum aestivum (bread wheat). RNAcentral's name for it is "partial small subunit ribosomal RNA". Lineage: Eukaryota; Viridiplantae; Streptophyta; Magnoliopsida; Poales; Poaceae. The record is from RNAcentral.